UAAUCACUUGUCUUUUAAAUGAAGACCCGUAUGAAUGGCACGACGAGGGUUUAACUGUCUCCUCCCCCCAAUCAAUGAAAUUGAUCUACCCGUGCAGAAGCGGGUAUAAUAACAUAAGACGAGAAGACCCUAUGGAGCUUUAGGCUAAGGAUUAAACAUGUUAAAAGAACUAAAUUCUUAAAUUCUACUGAAUAAUAAAAAGUCAUAAACCAAAUGUAAAUAUAACCCAAAUGCCUUCGGUUGGGGCGACCAUGGGGAAAAAAGAAACCCCCACAUGGAAUGGAGACACUCUCCUAAACCAAGAAAAUCAAUUCUAAGUAAUAGAACAUCUAACCAAAAAUGACCCAGGAACAAACAUCCUGAUCAAUGAACCAAGUUACCCUAGGGAUAACAGCGCAAUCCUUUCCCAGAGCCCA
Molecule: ribosomal RNA, 416 nt
Filed under: Bathycongrus retrotinctus (blackedge conger)
Lineage: Eukaryota; Metazoa; Chordata; Actinopteri; Anguilliformes; Congridae
Description: partial 16S ribosomal RNA
Rfam family: Bacterial large subunit ribosomal RNA
Source: RNAcentral